ACCUGCUCUAGGGUUCUCAGACAACUCGGUUCAGGUCAUUCUUGACGAUGAAGUCUAAAAUAAACAUGUUGUUUAAAGUAGUAUUGCUCUGGACAAUUAUCUACAUCCAAGAAUGCAGAGGGCAGUACACAGUGACUCAGACUCCAUCAGUAUUAGCUGCUGUUCCUGGACAAACAGUCUCCCUGAACUGUAAAGUUAGCAGUAAUGUUUAUAACAACAACCAUCUGUACUGGUACCAUCAGGUAUCUGGAGAGCCUCCUAAACUCCUGAUUUACUAUACUGACCGUCUCCAGUCAGGCACUCCAUCUCGAUUCAGUGGCAGUGGAUCUGGAAGUGCUUUCACUCUGACCAUCAGUGGAGUCCAGACUGAAGAUGCAGGAGAUUACUACUGUGAGAGUGUCCACAGUGGUCCUGUGUUCACACAGUGAUACAGAGCCGUACAAAAACCUCCCUCUGUGAGAGUACACAUGACUGCACUGCUGCAGCACAGACUUUCAGCAGGUGUGAGGCGGGGUUUAGUAAUAC
Molecule: non-coding RNA, 525 nt
Organism: Sardina pilchardus (European sardine)
Lineage: Eukaryota; Metazoa; Chordata; Actinopteri; Clupeiformes; Clupeidae
Source: the annotation of a RefSeq genome assembly